AUGCUUGAAAUCAUGUUUGUUUAUCUGAUAGCAUCUGGACAGAACAAGAUUCGACCUUGUGCUGCCACAAUGGUAAUUGGGCAAAAUAUAGUUGAUAUGUGCAUUGUAAGAAUCAAUUUGUUGUGUAUGAAAGUCCUAUUUAUAUUUAGGGCCUGUUCGGAGAUUCUCCCGCUCCCCAAGUCCGCUCUAGGAGUUGGUGGAGCUGUAGCUAAAAAUGGUGGAGUGGGGAAAAGGCAGCUCCAUAGAUUCUCAGAUUUCAGGGAGCUGGAGGACUGCCGAACAGCUCCUUAUAUACUACUAGCACACAUGCCCGUGCAUUGCAACGGAAGAAAAUACAUAUACAAUGAUGAAUGGUCAAAGGGUAAUUUUUGGUUAAAAAAUCAACAAUUCUAUUUCGCUGGCUUGGACCAUGAUACAUGUACAAUUUUCAUAGACACAAAUUCCUCAAGUUUUUGGACAGUUGUCCUCACAUCUCCUCUGCACCUUGCUCUCUUAUUUUGA
This 501-nucleotide ribosomal RNA is filed under the name Triticum aestivum (bread wheat). RNAcentral's name for it is "partial small subunit ribosomal RNA". Lineage: Eukaryota; Viridiplantae; Streptophyta; Magnoliopsida; Poales; Poaceae. The record is from RNAcentral.